RNAcentral lists this ribosomal RNA (83 nucleotides) under Myroides odoratimimus. Lineage: Bacteria; Pseudomonadati; Bacteroidota; Flavobacteriia; Flavobacteriales; Flavobacteriaceae. The record is from RNAcentral.
UAAGGUGGUUAUUGCAGCGGGGCUCACCUCUUCCCAUUUCGAACAGAGAAGUUAAGCCCGCUAGCGCAGAUGGUACUGCUAAC